Gasterosteus aculeatus aculeatus (three-spined stickleback) is the source of this 2807-nucleotide long non-coding RNA. The record is from Ensembl. NCBI's taxonomy places the organism in Eukaryota, Metazoa, Chordata, Actinopteri, Perciformes, Gasterosteidae.
CACGCUUUGCCCCAUGCGGAGAGAUGUGAAGUCAAUGAUGUGUCGUGCAAUAAUGGAGUCACAUUUCUGCCUCAUUUGUGCGGCCAAAAACUCCCGGCAACUCGCAGCUCGUCUCCGCUCGCGCGCCUCGCCGCAUCCCGUCCGCGCACGCACAACCUCGCAAGCAGCCGUGACGCGCGGGAGGAGGGAGAACGCGGAGGUCAGAGAAAAAAGGAGGCUCCUGACGGAAGGAUGCAUGUGGGGGCAGAGACAAAGCACCUGGCUGAAAAGGUGAGUCACAGAAGCAGGUAAUUGCUCUGACAUUUACUUCUAAUGAAGGAUUGGGACGAUAAUGGGACCUAUUUGCAUUAGUAGAAAAAAACACACACACACACACACACACACGUAGAGGCAACAAACGCACACAUGCACACUUAAAGAGUCCUCCUCAACACUUAGCACAGUGCAAAGCUGCGCUCCAGAGCCUGACUCACACACAUUACGCGCCAAUGCGGAGGAGGGAGAAAGUGCAUCGAGGCCUCAGACGAGACGACGGUGAAGAGGACGAGCGCGGCGCAGCGGGGACGAAGGACAGGAGGGGAGACGAGGGGAGAGAGGUCACCGACGCGGGAGACGCUGGUGAGAUUACUUGCAAACACCCGUCAGACAGUUGGCGAAGGAAUAGAAAGCGAGUUCAAAGUGUGGUCUAGAAACCCGCUCCGUCCACGGGACGAGGGGAGAAUUCUCGCCAGCAAAACAAAGAGUUUCCAACAACAUUUCCAGUUGCUCUCUGAUUGUAUUUAUUGGAAAAAAAGGUGACUGGUAAGACGUCGCGCAUCGAAACGGGGGGUUUCCCCUGUCACCGGUCGGCGCAUUUGCAUGUGUGUGUCUGUGCGCGUGUGAACGUGUGUGCGUGCCCGGAGCUCAUCAGCAUGUUUAAGUUCACAUCUGAUGUCACCGUGCUUCCCCUCGGCGAAAAGGGAUGAUUGUGGUUUAUCACUGAGUCACUUCAUCACUGUGGUUUCCCUCUCUAUCAGAUACAACCGCGCGUGUGUGUGUGUGUGUGUGUGUGUGUGUGUGUGUGAAAGGGACGGCGAGAACAAUAAGAAGACGAUGACCAGAGGAGUGAGGGCCUUCUCGGGGGCAGACGGAUGCGAGGCGGCUUGUCCUAAACGUUGGGACACGGCGCUCGACCCCCCGCAGCCUCGCCUCUCACUCGCUUUCACUUUGUUCCUCCAGAGGCUUUUUUUGUUGUUGUUGUUGUUGUUUUUGUUGUCUUUUUUUCAGUUCUUGUACCCACACACCGAAUAACACAAAGCACAAAGAAACCCUCGUUUAGUUAACCUUUGUCAGAGUUUUGAUGUUUUUGACACACUGUAAAACGCCCAUGUGGCUUUUUUUUUGGGGGGGGGGGGAAUUCUGCCUUUGAAUUUCCUGCUCUUUUGUUCGGAACCCCUCAACCACCAGCAGCUGAUUGUCAGCUCGUGCAGAGAUCACAGUGACUGUGACGGUGUAUUAACAAGAGAAAAAGAGCGAGAAAUGUGUGUGUCGAUAUAGAGAGAGAAAUCUGCCGAAUGCACCGGCGCAGCCCACAAGCCCCAGAAACCUCUCCUGUUGCUCUGGUAACAACAAGGACGGAUUCAGACCCAUUUUCUCCCCCCCCUCCCCUCCCCUCUCUCUCUCUUCCAGGUGUUUUGUGUGACCGUCUUGCAAAGGCAGGACGGGGAUCUCUGCUCUUUCGUUCAGUCAAGGUGUUCUGUGGGAGCCGCAAGACGUGAUGCUCGAAUCCUGUGGAAAAAGAGGUGUUUCUUUAAAAAAAAGAAGAAAAAAAAAAUGUCAACGGCUGAAAAGCACAAAGAGCAAAACAGACGCGGCCUUGGGAACCGAGAGGAAAAAAUAUAGUUUUUUUUAAAAAUGAAGUGAGAGGCGGUAAGACAGUUAGAAAAAAAAAAAAGAAAAGAAAAGUGAGAGCGAGAAAGAAAGAAGUGCAUUUCCCCGACAUGAGUCACUUCUGAGUGAAAGCUUUGUAAUUUAAGCCGCACGCAGCGAAAGAAAGAACGAAAGAGGGACAGAUGCAGCGGCACCGACGUGGAGAGACGUGGACAUUUACCCAACGCCGACAACAGCAGCACCGUGCGUUCCUGACGUUACAAAACCAUCUGGGUUAAUUCCAAUUUAAAACAGUGCCACAGAACAGGUGGACUCCACAUUAACUGCACGUUGGCGUUCCUCUAAAGUGGAUGUGGUCCACGGUGUCUCUCACACUUCAACCACCACAUCCUCCCGUGGAGCUUCAUUUAUGCACAUUGAAAAGACAAGCGGACGCCGACAGGACGCAGUUUGUCAUUUCGGAUCAUGGUUGUAAUUGUUAUGUAAUUGUUAUAAUGUUUAAUGCGAAAAAGUUCCAGCGAGUGUCCCCGAAUGUCUUCGGGCAGGACUUAGUCAAGUAUCAAGUAUCAAGAGUCAAAUAUUGACAGUGGGACCAUUUUCGACAAGGAAGUAAUAUCUCGUAUGGAAAGUUUCCGUCGAGGGCUUUCUAGAUAAAUAGAAACCAAUGCGUGUCAAUGCGACGAUAACUGGCGUAAUCAACUGAAUCAACGGGUUUAACAGUGGAGGCGUGUCUGCAGACAAUAAUACAGAUAAGCUCAAUAAUACAGAUAAGCCUUAAUUGUUUGUUUUUGUACUCAACACGGCAAAAUUGAUUCUGCUUUAAUGUCAGUUCUUGUAUUUAUUGUAUCUUUGUUGAUGAGUUUGCCAGAAGUUUUAUACCUGAUAACCGUUCCGAUGUCUCCGUACUGGAUGCAAAUACCACUUUAUAUAUUAAAUAC